GAUGAACGCUGGCGGCGUGCCUAACACAUGCAAGUCGAGCGUGAUUGUGUGGAUUGAAGCUUCGGCAGAGAGAAACACAUGAAAGAGGCGGACGGGUGAGUAACGCGUGGGCAACCUGCCCCAGACAGCGGAAUCGCCACAGGAAACGGUGAUUAAUGCCGCAUAAGACCACAGUAUCGCAUGGUACGGGGGUCAAAGAUUUAUCGGUAUGGGAUGGGCCCGCGUCUGAUUAGCUAGCUGGGGAGGUGACGGCGCACCAAGGCGACGAUCAGUAGCCGACCUGAGAGGGCGGACGGCCACACUGGAACUGAGCCGCGGUCCAGACUCCUACGGGAGGAAGCAGUGGGGAAUAUUGCACAAUGGGCGCAAGCCUGAUGCAGCAACGCCGCGUGAGUGAAGAAGGCCUUCGGGUCGUAAAACUCUGUCCUGUGGGAAGAAAAAAAUGACGGUACCACAGGAGGAAGCCCCGGCUAACUACGUGCCAGCCGCCGCCGUAA
This 497-nucleotide ribosomal RNA is filed under the name uncultured bacterium. RNAcentral's name for it is "partial 16S ribosomal RNA". It matches the Rfam family "Bacterial small subunit ribosomal RNA", at positions 28 to 523 of the family's 1533-position model. The record is from RNAcentral.